AUACGUAGGGUGCAAGCGUUAAUCGGAAUUACUGGGCGUAAAGCGUGCGCAGGCGGUUUUGUAAGACAGAGGUGAAAUCCCCGGGCUCAACCUGGGAACUGCCUUUGUGACUGCAAGGCUAGAGUACGGCAGAGGGGGAUGGAAUUUCGCGUGUAGCAGUGAAAUGCGUAGAUAUGCGGAGGAACACCGAUGGCGAAGGCAAUCCCCGUGGGCUGUACGGACGCUUAUUGAAGAAAGCGUGGGGAACAAACAGGAUUAGAUACCCUGGUAGGCCACGCCCGAAACGAUGUCAACUGGUUGUUGGGUCUUCAUUGACUCAGUAACGAAGCUAACGCGUGAAGUUGACCGCCUGGGGAGUACGGCCGCAAGGUUGAAACUCAAAGGAAUUGACGGGG
Molecule: ribosomal RNA, 395 nt
Filed under: uncultured bacterium
Lineage: Bacteria
Description: partial 16S ribosomal RNA
Rfam family: Bacterial small subunit ribosomal RNA
Source: RNAcentral